GAAGAGAUGAUGGGGCUGACAAGGAGGGAAGGGAGGCAGAGGCGAGUCAACUCCAACCCGCCCGGUCACCGGCCGGAGGGGAGAAUGGCGGAGACGACGGGGACAGCUCAGACCCACCGGCUCCGCGCGCGCGCCGAGGCGGCGGUGGCGGCCCUGGUGGACGUCCGCCCCCACGAGAUGCCCCCGCUGACGAGCGCCGCCUCAACCUUCUUUUUCAUCCUGAGCGCCUACUUCGUGGUGCUGCCGCUGCGGGACGAGGGGGCCAUCUCUCUGGGCCUCGGCGCCCUCCCGGGCCUCUUCGCCGGCUCGCUCGUGCUCACCGUCCUCGCCGCCCCCGUCGCAUCCCUCGCCUUCUCGCUCCCGUCCGUCCCCAAGUCCAGGGCUUUGGUUUUGAUACACAGGUUCUUCAGCAUAUCCCUUCUUGUAUUUUUUGUGCUUUGGUUUGCCUCGAAGCCGGGCUCCCCAUCUACCGCCCAGUCAAGUGAAGAUAGUUCAAAUAAACCUGCUGGGUGGGGAAACCACAGCUGGUUAUACAUAGUUGUGAGAAUAAGCUUCUUUCUUUGGGUUGCUUUGCUUAAUCUCAUUACAAUAUCAUCCACUUGGGCAAGGGUAAUUGAUGUCAUGGACAGUGAGGUUCAAGAUUGUUUGGUUUUAUUGGGGCUGGUGCUACGCUAGGGCAACUUUUUGGUUCUUUGUUUGCUGCAAGCAUGGCAUGGAUGGGACCCUUUCUGCUCCUAUUUUCCUCCCUCUUGAUGGAACUUGCUGCACUGUCAUCUAAAGGAAUUUGCAUUGAUGCUAAUCAUGGUUCAACAGAAUUGCUAUCAACAGGAGCAGAACCAAGUCAAAAUACCGAGCUUGGUGAUGAAAUGUCUUCGCUGGUCCCUUCACCUAGAACACCUUCCCAAUCUCAAAAGACAAAGCCUGGGAUUUUUGUGAUGUUUGAAGGUUUCUGGCUGAUCAUGCGCUCGCCUUACCUGAUAUACAUAUCUCUGCUUCUAUGGCUGAGUGCAGUUGUCUCAUCCUUCUUUUACUUCCAGAAAGUAACUAUAGUUGCUACUACAAUAUCAAGCCCAACUGCCAGAAGGAGAACAUUUGCACUGAUAAACAGCUUUAUAGCAGUUUUUAUUCUUGCCGGACAGCUCACUUUGACGGGUCAUAUCCUUACAGUAGCUGGUGUAACAGUUGCUAUUUGCGCAUCUCCAUUUAUUGCUGCCUCAAAUUUGAUUGCCCUUGCUGUAUGGCCAACUUGGGUUGCUGUUGCUGUCACUGAAACAAUUCGAAAGGUAACUACCUAUGUUUUGACUAGACCGGGAAGGGAGUUAUUAUUUACUGUUGUCUCACAGGAUGAGAAGUACAAAGCCAAGGUCUGUAUAGAUGUUAUUGUUCAAAGGCUUGGUGAUGCGACAGCUGCUGGAAUUUACACAUUACUUUUCAGCAGCUUUGAGAAGAAAAUAUCCAUUGUCAACCUCUAUGCAUUGCCGCUCUGCUUUGUCUGGCUUCUCAUUGCAUUUCAUUUGGGACGGCUCCAGACAAAUCUUGCCAAGCUUCAGGCAGCCUCUGACCCGUCCUAGUUCCUCCCAAACAUGUAUCUGGAACCUAAAUAAUAGGUAUCGUGGUGCUUCUUGACAUCUAUCAAGACAUGUGGCUGAGUAAGGCUGUUUGUGCAUGGCCUUUACUUUUCUAGGAUAUCGACUCAAUACACGGAAGUGGUUCGAGAAUCCAGAAGUACGGUAUGUCACGAAGACGAGGUUUUUGCCACCAGCAUUGAAUUUGUCUGCACAUUUCAAAGGGGCUACAAAUUGACAACACGGAAAUUCGAAUAUAACACUGGAAGUAAAGUAACUACCUGAAGGGUGAACAUAGAGGAAGACAUAAAUAGUACUGGCAGGCUAGCAGCUUAGAGUAUAAGAAUACACGAAUUUUGUAUCUGCUUUUAGUCCAUCCUUUCAUGGUGGAAAAUUGUGUCAUGCAAACUUUAAGCAUGUUAAUUCAUUGUUUAUGGGGAAAAGUAGGGCUGGAUAGGUUGGGCAUUGUUCUGCUGCGCUGCAUAAAAUAAUGUACUGUCCAAUACCACUCCCAGACUGCAUAUCAUUUGCAGAGAUGUGUAAUACCGACAACCAUCUGAUGAACCUGGACUACUGAUGCGACGGUGAAAUACUUCUGUAUAUGUGUGUGAUUUGAACUGGC
Molecule: ribosomal RNA, 2187 nt
Filed under: Triticum aestivum (bread wheat)
Lineage: Eukaryota; Viridiplantae; Streptophyta; Magnoliopsida; Poales; Poaceae
Description: partial small subunit ribosomal RNA
Source: RNAcentral